CCUACGGGAGGCAGCAGUGGGGAAUAUUGCACAAUGGGGGAAACCCUGAUGCAGCGACGCCGCGUGAGUGAAGAAGUAUUUCGGUAUGUAAAGCUCUAUCAGCAGGAACGAGACAAGACGGUACCUGACUAAGAAGCCCCGGCUAACUACGUGCCAGCAGCCGCGGUAAUACGUAGGGGGCAAGCGUUAUCCGGAAUCACUGGGUGUAACGGGAGCGUAGACGGCUGUGAAAGCCUGAAGUGAAAGGCGGGGGCCCAACCCCUGGACUGCUUUGGGAACUGUACGGCUGGAGUGCAGGAGAGGUAAGUGGAAUUCCUGGUGUAGCGGUGAAAUGCGUAGAUAUUAGGAGGAACACCAGUGGCGAAGGCGGCUACUGGACUGUAACUGACGUUGAGGCUCGAAAGCGUGGGGAGCAAACAGGAUUAGAUACCCUAGUAGUC
Molecule: ribosomal RNA, 440 nt
Filed under: uncultured bacterium
Lineage: Bacteria
Description: partial 16S ribosomal RNA
Rfam family: Bacterial small subunit ribosomal RNA
Source: RNAcentral